RNAcentral lists this ribosomal RNA (468 nucleotides) under uncultured bacterium. Its description in RNAcentral is "partial 16S ribosomal RNA". It matches the Rfam family "Bacterial small subunit ribosomal RNA", at positions 28 to 507 of the family's 1533-position model. The record is from RNAcentral.
GACGAACGCUGGCGGCGUGCUUAACACAUGCAAGUCGAACGGAAAGGCCCUGCUUUUGUGGGGUGCUCGAGUGGCGAACGGGUGAGUAACACGUGUGUAACCUGCCCUUGACUUUGGGAUAACUUCAGGAAACUGGGGCUAAUAUCGGAUAGGAGCUCCUGCUGCAUGGUGGGGGUUGGAAAGUUUCGGUGGUUGGGGAUGGACUCGCGGCUUACCAGCCUGUUGGUGGGGUAGUGGCCGACCAAGGCUUUGACGGGUAGCCGGCCUGGGAGGGUGACCGGCCACAAUGGGACUGAGGUACGGCCCAGACGCCUACGGGAGGCAGCAGUGGGGAAUAUUGCACAAUGGGCGGAAGCGUGAGGCAGCAACGCCGCGUGCGGGAUGACGGCCUUCUGGUGGUAAACCGCUUUCGCCUGAAACGAAGCGGGAGUGACGGUAAUGGGUAAAAAAGCACCGGCUAACUACGUG